UAACUAAUGGAGCUAGAACUGAUGUUGUGGAUAAAGAUGGUGAAACUCUACUACAUUGUGCCAGUGAAUCUAAUGAAGUUGAAAUGCUUGAGUUUUGGAUUAAGAGAGGAGACUAUGAUGUGAAUGUUACAAAUAAAAGAAAUAGAACUCCAUUGUUUAAUGCUCUUGAUAAGUAUAGAUGUAGUAUUGAAGCUGUUGAUAUUUUAUUGAAUAAUGGAGCUAGAACUGAUGUUGUGG
Long non-coding RNA from Amphimedon queenslandica, 237 nucleotides. RefSeq lists it as uncharacterized. Lineage: Eukaryota; Metazoa; Porifera; Demospongiae; Haplosclerida; Niphatidae. The transcript is spliced from 3 exons. The record is from RefSeq and is a predicted model, not a curated record.